AGUGUGUGACUGGCGGAUUCGUGGGAUACCACAGGGGAACACACCGAUAAGAAGCCGACCGCCUGGGCAU
RNAcentral lists this non-coding RNA (70 nucleotides) under human gut metagenome. RNAcentral describes it as "ZMP/ZTP riboswitch". It matches the Rfam family "ZMP/ZTP riboswitch aptamer (pfl RNA motif)", at positions 6 to 81 of the family's 86-position model. Rfam says of the family: Previously known as pfl RNA. The record is from RNAcentral.